This 578-nucleotide ribosomal RNA is filed under the name Filobasidium magnum. RNAcentral's name for it is "eukaryotic LSU rRNA". It matches the Rfam family "Eukaryotic large subunit ribosomal RNA", at positions 92 to 656 of the family's 3401-position model. The record is from RNAcentral. Lineage: Eukaryota; Fungi; Basidiomycota; Tremellomycetes; Filobasidiales; Filobasidiaceae.
AGUGAAGCGGGAAGAGCUCAAAUUUGAAAUCUGGUGGCCUCAGGUCAUCCGAGUUGUAAUCUAUAGAAGUGUUUUCCGUGCUGGCUCAUGUACAAGUCCCUUGGAACAGGGCGUCAUAGAGGGUGAGAAUCCCGUCCUUGACAUGAACUACCAGUGCUCUGUGAUACAUUUUCAACGAGUCGAGUUGUUUGGGAAUGCAGCUCAAAAUGGGUGGUAAAUUCCAUCUAAAGCUAAAUAUUGGCGAGAGACCGAUAGCGAACAAGUACCGUGAGGGAAAGAUGAAAAGCACUUUGGAAAGAGAGUUAAACAGUAUGUGAAAUUGUUGAAAGGGAAACGAUUGAAGUCAGUCGUGCUCUUUGGAUUCAGCCGGUUCUGCCGGUGUACUUCCUUUGAGUGGGGUCAACAUCASUUUUGAUCGCUGGAUAAAGGCUGGAGGAACGUAGUACCCUCGGGUAAACUUAUARCCUCCUGUCACAUACAGUGGUUGGGACUGAGGAACGCASCACGCCUUUAUGGCCGGGAUUCGUCCACGUACGUGCUUAGGAUGUUGACAUAAUGGCUUUAAACKACCCGUCUUG